This 468-nucleotide ribosomal RNA is filed under the name uncultured bacterium. Its description in RNAcentral is "partial 16S ribosomal RNA". It matches the Rfam family "Bacterial small subunit ribosomal RNA", at positions 28 to 507 of the family's 1533-position model. The record is from RNAcentral.
GACGAACGCUGGCGGCGUGCCUAACACAUGCAAGUCGAACGGAAAGUCCCUGCUUUUGUGGGCUGCUCGAGUGGCGACCGGGUGAGUAACACGUGAGUAACCUGUAACUGACCUUGGGAUGUCUUCAGGCCACUGGGGCUCAUCCCGGCUAGGAGCUCCUGCUGCUUGGUGGGGGUUGGAAGGUUUCGGCGGUUGGGGAUGGACUCGCGUCUUAUCAGCUUGUUGGAGGGGUAGUGGCUUACCAAGGCUUUGACGGGUAGCCGGCCUGAGAGGGUGACCGGCUACAUUGGGACUGAGAUACGGCCCAGACUCCUAUGGGAGGCAGCAGUGGGGAAGAGUGCACAAUAGGCGGAAGCCUGAUGCAGCAACGCCGCGUGCGGGAUGACGGCCUUCGGUUUGUAAAGCGAUUUCGCCUGAGACGAAGCGUGAGUGACGGUAAUGGGUAAAGAAGCACCGGCUAACUACGUG